GGGCUGUUAGCUCAGUUGGUAGAGCGCCGCGUUCGCAAUGCGGAGGUCAGGGGUUCAAUUCCCCUACGGUCCA
RNAcentral lists this transfer RNA (73 nucleotides) under Spirochaetota bacterium. RNAcentral describes it as "Spirochaetes bacterium tRNA-Ala". It matches the Rfam family "tRNA". Rfam says of the family: Transfer RNA (tRNA) molecules are approximately 80 nucleotides in length. The record is from RNAcentral. Lineage: Bacteria; Pseudomonadati; Spirochaetota.